UACCUGCAGCUCAAGUGGUGAUCAUUAUUAUUGGGCCUAAAACGUCCGUAGCCGGUUUAGUAAAUGCCUGGGUAAAUCGUGUAGCUUAACUAUACGACUUCCGGGUAGACUGCUAAACUUGAGACCGGGAGAAGCUAGAGGUACUCCUGGGGUAGAGGUGAAAUUCUGUAAUCCUAGGGGGACCACCAGUGGCGAAGGCGUCUAGCUAGAACGGGUCUGACGGUGAGGGACGAAGCCCUGGGGCACAAACCGGAUUAGAUACCCGGGUAGUCCAGGGUGUAAACGCUGCUUGCUUGAUGUUAGUUGGGCUCCGAGCCCAGCUAGUGUCGGAGAGAAGUUGUUAAGCAAGCUGCCUGGGAAGUACGGUCGCAAGGCUGAAACUUAAAGGAAUUGGCGGGGGAGCACAGCAACGGGUGGAGCGUGCGGUUU
RNAcentral lists this ribosomal RNA (429 nucleotides) under uncultured archaeon. RNAcentral's name for it is "bacterial SSU rRNA". It matches the Rfam family "Archaeal small subunit ribosomal RNA", at positions 474 to 903 of the family's 1478-position model. The record is from RNAcentral.